RNAcentral lists this ribosomal RNA (264 nucleotides) under uncultured bacterium. Its description in RNAcentral is "partial 16S ribosomal RNA". It matches the Rfam family "Bacterial small subunit ribosomal RNA", at positions 94 to 354 of the family's 1533-position model. The record is from RNAcentral.
ACCGGCGCACGGGUGAGUAACACGUAUGCAACCUGGCCGUGACAGAUGGAUAACCGGGAGAAAUCCCGCCUAAUACAACAUAAUGCCGGGAGGGGACAUCCCCUGCCGGCCAAAGGGGGCGACCCCGGUCACGGAUGGGCAUGCGGCGCAUUAGGUAGUUGGUGGGGCAACGGCCCACCAAGCCGACGAUGCGUAGGGGUUCUGAGAGGAAGGUCCCCCACAUUGGAACUGAGACACGGUCCAAACUCCUACGGAAGGCAGCAG